This 497-nucleotide ribosomal RNA is filed under the name uncultured bacterium. RNAcentral's name for it is "partial 16S ribosomal RNA". It matches the Rfam family "Bacterial small subunit ribosomal RNA", at positions 28 to 507 of the family's 1533-position model. The record is from RNAcentral.
GAUGAACGCUGGCGGCGUGCCUAAUACAUGCAAGUCGAGCGAACAGACGAGGAGCUUGCUCCUCUGACGUUAGCGGCGGACGGGUGAGUAACACGUGGAUAACCUACCUAUAAGACUGGGAUAACUUCGGGAAACCGGAGCUAAUACCGGAUAAUAUAUUGAACCGCAUGGUUCAAUAGUGAAAGACGGUUUUGCUGUCACUUAUAGAUGGAUCCGCGCCGCAUUAGCUAGUUGGUAAGGUAACGGCUUACCAAGGCAACGAUGCGUAGCCGACCUGAGGGGAGGAAAGGCCACAGUGGAAAAGAGGCACGGAACAGAGUCCUACGGGAGGCAGCAGUAGGGAAUAAUGAGCAGGGGACGAGAACUUGACAGAUCAGCGUGGAGAGAGGAAUGAAGGUCUUAGGAUCAUAAAACGCUGUUAUUAGGGAAGAACAAAUGGGAAAGAAACUAUGCGCGUAGUGACGGAAGCUAGUCAGAAGGCGACGGCUAACUACAAG